UUUUGGUGCGGCCAACCGAACAUAGGGCUGUCUCUUCACUCUCCCACCCGUCAUUGAACAUGUCGUGGUCGGGAUGCUUCCGAUCGGUUGCCUGUGCGGUUCUACCCUCUUGUGGGUAGCGAASUCGUCCCUUGAUGGAUAUWUGCUUGCCCUUGUGACAUUUUUGUGUCGUYUGGGCAGCCGAAAUGUUGGCGAUAUCCUUGUGUUGGCGCGUGGUUGAAUGMYGUGUUGCUAUCACUUGGAUUUUUGCCGGCUCUCACGGAUGCGGUGCCUAGCGCUAGCUCUGCGGGACUUUGCCCCGCAGACUUCGGGAGGUCCCUUGUACGAAUCAUUGCUCUUAUACGCCGUCUUGUCGUGCCGYUACCGYGGCACGCAGAUCGUGUUCUUUCGUGCAGUCGUUGACAGCA
Molecule: unclassified non-coding RNA, 407 nt
Filed under: Carex x doroyuensis
Lineage: Eukaryota; Viridiplantae; Streptophyta; Magnoliopsida; Poales; Cyperaceae
Description: Carex sp. KN-2020B partial miscellaneous RNA
Source: RNAcentral